CGGCGGACGGUGAGUAACGCGUGGGUAACCUGCCUUACACAGGGGGAUAACAGUUAGAAAUGACUGCUAAUACCGCAUAAGACCCCGGUACCGCAUGGUACAGAGGUAAAAACUGAGGUGGUGUAAGAUGGACCCGCGUCUGAUUAGGUAGUUGGUGAGGUAACGGCUCACCAAGCCGACGAUCAGUAGCCGGCCUGAGAGGGUGGACGGCCACAUUGGGACUGAGACACGGCCCAGACUCCUACGGAAGGCAGCAG
This 257-nucleotide ribosomal RNA is filed under the name uncultured bacterium. Its description in RNAcentral is "partial 16S ribosomal RNA". It matches the Rfam family "Bacterial small subunit ribosomal RNA", at positions 96 to 354 of the family's 1533-position model. The record is from RNAcentral.